Molecule: transfer RNA, 73 nt
Filed under: Micrococcus cohnii
Lineage: Bacteria; Bacillati; Actinomycetota; Actinomycetes; Micrococcales; Micrococcaceae
Description: Micrococcus sp. WS4601 tRNA
Rfam family: tRNA
About the family: Transfer RNA (tRNA) molecules are approximately 80 nucleotides in length. Their secondary structure includes four short double-helical elements and three loops (D, anti-codon, and T loops).
Source: Rfam by way of RNAcentral
GGGGCUAUAGCUCAGCUGGUAGAGCGCGUCGUUCGCAAUGACGAGGUCAGGGGUUCGACUCCCCUUAGCUCCA